GUCGAGCGGUAGAGAGGUGCUUGCAUCUCUUGAGAGCGGCGGACGGGUGAGUAAUGCCUAGGAAUCUGCCUAGUGGUGGGGGAUAACGUUCGGAAACGGACGCUAAUACCGCAUACGUCCUACGGGAGAAAGCGGGGGAUCUUCGGACCUCGCGCCAUUAGAUGAGCCUAGGUCGGAUUAGCUAGUUGGUGAGGUAAUGGCUCACCAAGGCGACGAUCCGUAACUGGUCUGAGAGGAUGAUCAGUCACACUGGAACUGAGACACGGUCCAGACUCCUACGGGAGGCAGCAGUGGGGAAUAUUGGACAAUGGGCGAAAGCCUGAUCCAGCCAUGCCGCGUGUGUGAAGAAGGUCUUCGGAUUGUAAAGCACUUUAAGUUGGGAGGAAGGGUAGUAACCUAAUACGUUGCUACUUUGACGUUACCGACAGAAUAAGCACCGGCUAACUUCGUGCCAGCAGCCGCGGUAAUACGAAGGGUGCAAGCGUUAAUCGGAAUUACUGGGCGUAAAGCGCGCGUAGGUGGUUCAGCAAGUUGGAUGUGAAAGCCCUGGGCUCAACCUGGGAACUGCAUCCAAAACUACUGAGCUAGAGUACGGUAGAGGGUAGUGGAAUUUCCUGUGUAGCGGUGAAAUGCGUAGAUAUAGGAAGGAACACCAGUGGCGAAGGCGACUACCUGGACUGAUACUGACACUGAGGUGCGAA
RNAcentral lists this ribosomal RNA (701 nucleotides) under Pseudomonas sp. AR50. RNAcentral's name for it is "bacterial SSU rRNA". It matches the Rfam family "Bacterial small subunit ribosomal RNA", at positions 61 to 757 of the family's 1533-position model. Lineage: Bacteria; Pseudomonadati; Pseudomonadota; Gammaproteobacteria; Pseudomonadales; Pseudomonadaceae. The record is from RNAcentral.